UUUAACAAAACUUUGCCUUUUUAGAUUGAAUUGGUGGAAUUGAAUUACCAUGACCUUGCUAGUUUACCGGGUACUGAACCGAACUACCGGUUCUGGUUAUGGUAAUCGCUCAAUCACUAAAAUAUCGUACCGAUAUUCUAAAUUAAGAGAACAGGAAAUAUAAGAAAGAAAAAAAAAAAAAAGUCGAAACAUAUCGGGCUGGCGAAGAGAUGAUUCAUGAUUGCUUCACAAGGAGGAGGUGUUGCUGGGGUCAACCCCUUGUCUUGAUUGGGUGGAAAUUGCUUUCACGAUAAUUAUUUUCACUUAUAAUAUAACCAAAUAGAAUAACAAAGUCUUUCGUAAAAAAGUAAUUAUAUUCGUAACAAUUCCCAAUUAGCGAGAAAAAAAAAACUAAUUAUAUAAAUUUAGUCAAACAGUUUUUGCAUAAAUUUUGUUACAACUCACAGUUGAUGAUGUUGACAAAAAUAAACUUUAUUUACAGUUGAAAAAAAAAAAGAAAAAAAAAAGUUGAUUACUACAAC
RNAcentral lists this long non-coding RNA (521 nucleotides) under Capsella rubella. RNAcentral's name for it is "long non-coding RNA (CRUB_LNC001964)". Lineage: Eukaryota; Viridiplantae; Streptophyta; Magnoliopsida; Brassicales; Brassicaceae. The record is from RNAcentral.